AACGAACGCUGGCGGCAUGCCUAACACAUGCAAGUCGAACGAGACCUUCGGGUCUAGUGGCGCACGGGUGCGUAACGCGUGGGAACCUGCCCUUAGGUUCGGAAUAACUCCCCGAAAGGGGUGCUAAUACCGGAUAAUGUCUUCGGACCAAAGAUUUAUCGCCUUUGGAUGGGCCCGCGUUGGAUUAGCUAGUUGGUAGGGUAAAAGCCUACCAAGGCGACGAUCCAUAGCUGGUCUGAGAGGAUGAUCAGCCACACUGGGACUGAGACACGGCCCAGACUCCUACGGGAGGCAGCAGUGGGGAAUAUUGGACAAUGGGCGAAAGCAUGAUCCAGCAAUGCCGCGUGAGUGAUGAAGGCAGUAGGGUUGUAAAGCUCUUUUACCCGGGAUGAUAAUGACAGUACCGGGAGAAUAAGCUCCGGCUAACUCCGUG
RNAcentral lists this ribosomal RNA (433 nucleotides) under uncultured bacterium. Its description in RNAcentral is "partial 16S ribosomal RNA". It matches the Rfam family "Bacterial small subunit ribosomal RNA", at positions 29 to 507 of the family's 1533-position model. The record is from RNAcentral.